AAUGAACGCUGGCGGCGGGCCUAACACAUGCAAGUCGAUCGGACACACGAUGAGCUUUUUCCCUUACCGUUUGCGGCUGGCGGACGGGUGACACAUGGAUAGCCUACCUCUUAUUCUGGGAGGAUUACGUGGAACCGCUUCUACUACCACCUAAUACAUUCUACCGGUGGAUGCAAUGGUGAGUGACGGCUUUCCCGUCUCUUAUAGCCGAAUCCGCGCCGCAUUAGCUAGUUGGUAAGGUAACACCUUACCAAGGCUACGAUGCGUAGCCGACCUGAGAGGGUGAUCAGCCACACUGGAACUGAGACACGGUCCAGACUCCUACGGGAGGCAGCAGUAGGGAAUAUUCGGCAAUGGGCGAAAGCCUGAUCGAGCCACGCCGCGUGAGUGAUGAAGGUCUUCGGAUCGUAAAACUCUGUUAUUGGGAAAGAACAGCUGCAUGUGAAAACAUGAACGUCUUGACGGUACCUAAAGAGAAAGCAACGGCUAACUACGUG
This 497-nucleotide ribosomal RNA is filed under the name uncultured bacterium. RNAcentral's name for it is "partial 16S ribosomal RNA". It matches the Rfam family "Bacterial small subunit ribosomal RNA", at positions 29 to 507 of the family's 1533-position model. The record is from RNAcentral.